GGGAGCCUAUACAGGUGUUGCAUGGCUGUCGUCAGCUCGUGUCGUGAGAUGUUCGGUUAAGUCCGCUAACGAGCGCAACCUCGUCGUAUGUUAUAUGUGUCAUACGAGACUGCCGGUAAAAAGCCGGAGGAAGGUGAGGAUGAUGUCAAGUCAGCAUGACCUUUAUAUCCAGGGCUACACACACGCUACAAUGGUCUGUACAAUGGGUAGCCAAGCCGCGAGGCGGAGCCAAUCCUGAAAGCAGGCCUCAGUUCAGAUUGCAGUCUGCAACUCGACUGCAUGAAGCCGGAGUUGCUAGUAACCGCAGGUCAGCAAUACUGCGGUGAAUACGUUCCCGGGUCUU
This 343-nucleotide ribosomal RNA is filed under the name uncultured Anaerolineaceae bacterium. RNAcentral describes it as "bacterial SSU rRNA". It matches the Rfam family "Bacterial small subunit ribosomal RNA", at positions 1024 to 1382 of the family's 1533-position model. The record is from RNAcentral. Lineage: Bacteria; Bacillati; Chloroflexota; Anaerolineae; Anaerolineales; Anaerolineaceae.